UUGUGUGGACAUUCAAAGACAUAGAGUCUGGAUUAAACUGAGAAAGGGACUGGACUUGUCUCUGUUUCUCAUCAUUGAGGACCAUAUUGUAGACACAGUCAAGGGUUGGAGGGGGCUGCAUCAUCAGUAGAUUACUCCUUACCCCUAUGUAUGCUUCAUUAAGGCUCAUUAGAAACUGAAACACCUUAUUCUCAUCAUCUUCCUGUAUUAUGCCAUUUUUGGCAGCACANNNNNNNNNNNNNNNNNNNNNNNNNNNNNNNNNNCAUUUUUGGCAGCACAAACACAUCUUUGCCCAUGAUUUGUACACAUUGUUCCUAAUUCAUCCCACAGUCCUUUAAGUUUGUUAAAAUAUGAGGCUACAUUUAGAGACCCUUGAGAAGUGUGAGAAAGCUCUCUUUUUAGUUCAAAAAUUUUGGUCCUGUUGGCAGUGCCAUAUCUGGUCUGAAGCUGUGACCAUAUACUCUGUGUAGUAUCAGAAUACUGCACACUUUCAGCAAUUUGAGGGGACAGGGAGGUAGUUAACCAGGAGAUUACCAUAUUAUUGCAUCUGUCCCACAACCUUUGCUCAGCCACAUUAGUGACUGGCCAGGGACAUGUGCCAUCAACAAAGCCAAUUUUAUUUUUAGCAGACAGUGCGACAAUCAUUUUCCUCCUCCAACCCCCAUAACCACUGCUCGAGAAGGGAGUGGACACAAGAGAAACUCCAGGAACAUCAGAGGAGUAAACAAAAAGGGGGCUGGUAGAGUCCACGGAGGAGGUAUUAACAUUCAUAUUAGAAGUCAUGAAUAAUAACCAGUUUGAAAUCAAAAACAAUCUUGGUAAACAGGCUAAAGUUGAAUCAGAACCCACAUGCAAAUUAUACAACACUUAGAACAAGGAUAGAGUUACCCUCCUUCUUCGCGACCGGAGAAGAACGGCCUUCAAUCGCCAGAUAAAACCCUAGGUCCGACCAUAGGAAACCGUAGGGUCUGAAAACUUACCGGAAUAGGGUCAGGGACGUUGGAAAAUCACCCAAAAUAUCCACCGAGUGAGGAUCGAGCCAUCGGAUAGCAGUAAAACCCUAGGUCCGAACACCGGAAACCCUAGAAUCUAGAAAGUCACCGGAAUAAGGUCAGGGAUGUCGGAAAAUCACCCAAAAUAUCCACUGAGUGAAGAUCGAAGCAUCAAAUAGCAGUAAAAGUUCCGAUUAUCUGUUCAAUACCACAUCGUUCUCUCGGUAAACAGAAUCUCUCACAAAUAUCCAAGAAAACCCUUAAGUAGAACUUCCAACACGAUCAAUAACAAGUAACGGAGAAGAAUCCGAGGAUCAUCUCAUAGAAUCUGGAAAAUUACCGGAAUAAGAUCAGGGAUGUCGGAAAAUCACCCAAAACAUCCACUGAGUGAAGAUCAAACUAUCAAAUAGCAAUAAAAGUUCCGAUUAACUGUUCAAUACACAUCCAUCUCUCGGUAAACGGAAUCUCUCACAAAUAUCCAGAGAAAAACCUUCAAUAGAACUUCCGACAUG
Molecule: long non-coding RNA, 1504 nt
Filed under: Nicotiana benthamiana
Lineage: Eukaryota; Viridiplantae; Streptophyta; Magnoliopsida; Solanales; Solanaceae
Description: long non-coding RNA (NBEN_LNC024928)
Source: RNAcentral